CCAGAAAGCCACGGCUAACUACGUGCCAGCAGCCGCGGUAAUACGUAGGUGGCAAGCGUUGUCCGGAUUUAUUGGGCGUAAAGCGAGCGCAGGCGGUUUUUUAAGUCUGAUGUGAAAGCCUUCGGCUCAACCGAAGAAGUGCAUCGGAAACUGGGAAACUUGAGUGCAGAAGAGGACAGUGGAACUCCAUGUGUAGCGGUGAAAUGCGUAGAUAUAUGGAAGAACACCAGUGGCGAAGGCGGCUGUCUGGUCUGUAACUGACGCUGAGGCUCGAAAGUAUGGGUAGCAAACAGGAUUAGAUACCCUGGUAGUCCAUACCGUAAACGAUGAAUGCUAAGUGUUGGAGGGUUUCCGCCCUUCAGUGCUGCAGCUAACGCAUUAAGCAUUCCGCCUGGGGAGUACGGCCGCAAGGCUGAAACUCAAAGGAAUUGACGGGGGCCCGCACAAGCGGUGGAGCAUGUGGUUUAAUUCGAAGCUACGCGAAGAACCUUACCAGGUCUUGACAUACUAUGCAAAUCUAAGAGAUUAGACGUUCCCUUCGGGGACAUGGAUACAGGUGGUGCAUGGUUGUCGUCAGCUCGUGUCGUGAGAUGUUGGGUUAAGUCCCGCAACGAGCGCAACCCUUAUUAUCAGUUGCCAGCAUUAAGUUGGGCACUCUGGUGAGACUGCCGGUGACAAACCGGAGGAAGGUGGGGAUGACGUCAAAUCAUCAUGCCCCUUAUGACCUGGGCUACACACGUGCUACAAUGGAUGGUACAACGAGUUGCGAACUCGCGAGAGUAAGCUAAUCUCUUAAAGCCAUUCUCAGUUCGGAUUGUAGGCUGCAACUCGCCUACAUGAAGUCGGAAUCGCUAGUAAUCGCGGAUCAGCAUGCCGCGGUGAAUACGUUCCCGGGCCUUGUACACACCGCCCGUCACACCAUGAGAGUUUGUAACACCCAAAGUCGGUGGGGUA
RNAcentral lists this ribosomal RNA (954 nucleotides) under Lactiplantibacillus plantarum. RNAcentral's name for it is "bacterial SSU rRNA". It matches the Rfam family "Bacterial small subunit ribosomal RNA", at positions 483 to 1437 of the family's 1533-position model. Lineage: Bacteria; Bacillati; Bacillota; Bacilli; Lactobacillales; Lactobacillaceae. The record is from RNAcentral.